UGUGCAAUGAAUAGGCAAGGUCCCAUGAAACACAUAUCAUACUUUCAUAGACAUCAUCUUAACAUGCAUAGUAGUAGACACUAGUGAAUAUGAGAACUACCUUUCAUUUAGACACCAUGACCUAUAUUACUUGUAAGCAUGAAUAAUGUGUGAGUGCGUGUGUACAUUGGUCAACAUGAUCACAUAAUGGUUAUCCAUAACAUCUUGAGGCAUGCAGACUCUUAAGUCCACAAUGCACAACAAAGCAUAGACCACACAACACCAUUUAGCGUGGAGGCAAGACAAUCUUCACAUUACAUUCAAGACUCCUAACCUUAGCUAUUCACACAUUCACAAUAGGGUUACAUGGGUAGGGGUCAUCAAUCCUUAAUACUUCUUUAAUAGCAGCACCUACACAUGAUCCUAACAUAAACAUUCACAUGCUCAUGACAAUAGUAACAUAACCUAGAUUCACAACUAAAGUAGAAGACUAGGCACAAGUUACACAUAAGGUGAUCAUCAUAACCACUCAUUCAUAUAUUCAUCAAUUCGCCUUCAAGGGCAUGUUCAACAUAUAUAUAAUGACAAUAAAGUAAACACCGCCACUACAAGUAGACCAUACCAUACAAUGCCAUACAAGGUUUCAUCAACAUUACUAUAAAGAAGUAGAGAAGUAGAAGAGUAGAGAAAUUAUUACCAAUCCAUUACUACUUUUUCAUGAAUAAUUCAAGUAUAGGGAAAUAUCUAAUGUACCAUAAUCAUAAAAGAAACCAUGUACAAGUCGCUACAAGAUCAUAUUACAAUCUAAUACAAUAUAUCACAUAUAUAUACUAGAAAGUAGAAGAACAUAGAUCUUUAACCCAAUUCACUUGCAUUGAUGAUCAAUAACAAUUUAUCAUCAAUACAAUGUACGGCAGUAGCUAAAGAGAUCAUUAUUCAAACGAAAUCAUGCUUCAUCUACCCUAACAUUUAGAUCAUGUCAUAUACACUACAACAUUCACUUUAUAGGCUAGAAGAAUCUAAAUUAAUCUUUACCAAUUCAAUUGUUAUCCAUUCAUGUUAGAUCAAUUAUACCUAAUUAUCAUCACAUUAUACGUAUAGUCAGUAUCUAAGGACAAUUAACCAUGAUCGAGUCAUAUAACAACCAACCUAACGUCAAGAUCACAAGUUACCACUUGAUAAACUAAAAGAACUUAGAUAACCUCAUAUUAAUCCUUCUUCACCUUGAUCAUACACGAUUUAUACUUACAAUUCAAUCAUUAUAUUAACCUUAGGAAGUAGCUACAAGACUCUCAACAUAUUUGAAAUCCACUUUUAUACAAUUAAGGACCAAUGUUACAGUAAACACAUAGAACAUGAACUAGUCAUGUUAAAUUCUUCAUACAUUGAUCCACAUGGAUCACUCAUCAUCAAUUCAUCAUCAAUUCAAGUAAAUAACAGUAUAUUUAGACAAUUCAACGUAAGAGAAUCGCAAUUCAACUAUUAACAAGCUAUGAUCACAAUGCCCAUGCAAGGGCUAAAUCGAUUUUGGGAAGAGACAUUGGUUCAUAAUGCAAUUGGAUUAAAUUUCACGUUAAAAGCAUUACAUUAACAUCAAUUCAUCAUGAUUAAGCCAUUAAAAACAUUUUUAGAAAGAACUCAUGGCUAGAUUGAAAAAGAAGAAGUUUGAUCGUGAAAUCUCUUUUUGAAACUUAGAGAUUAACUCUCUAGAUGGAAGGAUAACUAGUGAUGAAGGAUCACCAUACUUUGUAUAGUUGAAAACCUAUAAAUCUUGAUGAAGAAAUCAUAGAAAUCCAACCUACAACUUGUUCUUGAGCUUCACCUUCAAGGAGGUUUCUAGGGAGAAUUAGUUUUGGAGGAAAAGUCUAUUUUGUGUGUAUGGGAUUGGGAAUGGGUUGAUCACGUUUUUUAUCACUUAUAUACACCCAAAAAUAUCUAAAUAAAUCAAAUAGGAUCAGGUUAGUAUGUAGGGUUAAUUUACCAUUCACCCCUUUAAUGAGGCAGUCGCAUGGCAGCAGUUGCAGGCCACCAUCGACAGACAGCAUCGACGGAGCGUCGACUGGACGACGGGGCGUCCUGCUGCUCCAUCGUUAGUGACUGCAGCUUCCUCUUGGUGGCUUCAGCUCCUAUGGCUAAGUGUCAACCCACGCCCUAAUAGACGGGGCGUCGAUGGACUGACGAGGCGUCACUUAGAGCCCCGUGGGUCCUUCUUGUAGGCCUUUUUGCGGGGCCCUUGGGAAGUCAUACCCGGACAUUUACAACGUAAAUACGAACAUUGAAAAUUCAAGGACCUUCCAUGCAAGUUUCACCCAAAAUUCACACAUAAAACACGUCCAAACAUGCUAGGCCCCAUCAAGACAUACCUGAACGUUUCAAGGGCUAACUUUUGAACGUCUUAGACGUUCUUGGACGUUUGACCUCCAAACUUCAUGAAACUCCAUAUAAUGAAUAUAAACAUAAUUAUAACUCAUUUUAAGACUUCAUAAUCUCAUGAUGUACAAAUAUAAGGACGUAUAGACACAUGAGGCACAUAGGUGACUAGUUGUUGAACGUCUUGGUCGUCCCUUGACGUUCGACUUCCAAAUUACCUCAAACCUUACACACUGCCUCAAUACCAUAUUAUAAGCCAUUUUAGGACAUUAGUCCCUUAUGACAAAUAUGUUAGGCUCUAGACACCCUAACUCAGUUUUGGGGUCUUACAGUAUAUAUGCAGGUUUUUAAAUGGAAAAGGGGUCAAAGCCCAAACUCUUUUGUUCAAGCAGGUUCAGAAGAAAAUGAGACCUAAGAGGCCCAAAGGAGUGGUCCAUCAACAGAACUUUGAUGCAGCUAUGCUAAAGCAUAGAGGACUCCUAUAAUAACUCAACAGCAGAUUAACAAACAGAUGAUUAGAACACAUGUUAAAGAGAUCAAGACCUUUGGGUGUAUCAGAUGAAGUAUGAUAUGUGAGAGGAUUGCUAACAGAAGUUUCAAGAUUUGGGAUCUCGGGUAAUGUUUAAUGGCUUUAUAGGAAUAUGUGGAACCUGUUGAUUGCAUUGACAAUCAUUUAUCAUGUAUGGAUGAAUGUUUUUGUAGUCUCAACUUAAUAGACUUAUCGCUUAAGUUGCUCAUCGUGCAAGAGAAAUAUUAGGUGUCGCCUCUUUCGGCUUAUGGAAAUUACCAACUAGUUUUAUUCUUGAGGUAUGUUUCUCUAUUGCAAUCUGACUAACAUCACGAUCACUUUUGACUGAAGUAUUGAAACGUGUUAAUUGCAUUUUCGUGCCCCCUUUGAAAUGUUGUGUCAAAAUCAGUGUGGGGUUAUAUUUUGCAGGAGUUGUAAGAGAAGUUAAGGAAAAAAUAGGAGUAUGAAAUUCACAAGCAACAUAUUCCUCUACCUAAAUGAGCAAAUAUGUAAUGAACAAUUGUUUUCUUAAUGAUUAUUAUUCUUUUCUCAUUCAAUUUGAGAAGGUUAUGGCUUUCAGGGAACAAACUCUUCAUCUUAUGGCUAAUGAUUAUUUUGUGUCCUUCUAUUGAUUAGAAGAGUUACGUUACAAAUCUUAUAAGAACAUGAAAUGUUGAUACCAUAACUAUCCACAUGACUUGGCUUAGACACAGAGAAUGUGAAAUUCCUAUUAGCUAGACUUUAAUGUUGUGUGAUUAAUAAUUAGCUCUAAGUUAACUAGAACACUUGGUAAAUAAUUACCUUUUGAAGUUCUUUAUCCCUUAUUCACUAUGUUAGUCAUGUAUUAUAAUUUCCAGUUUGUAGUUGCUCGCUUUUUUGUUAUUUAGCAUUAAAAUAAUGACUACAGAGUCCAUCACUAAAGUGAAGUCUAUAUAACUUUUUGUAUGCACAAAGUAAUCACAUUUUUAGCAGUUUUAGCCUUUGCUUUUAUAUUGCUGCUAUAAUGCAUUGGAGAGGAAAAAAUGAUUCAUAUCUAAAGUGACUUUUAGUUGUUUCUUAUUAUGUAGUUAUGUUUUUCAUGACAUUUUAGCACCUCAGUUGUUAGAUCUCUCAAAAUCAAAUAUUGAUUUCAUGUCACUUACUGCAGGUGUCUAGCUACGAAGAUGACCACAUGGAUAUGACCAAUGUAGAUUAUGCGAGUUCUCAUAGAGUAUUAAUUCUAGAAUAUGAUAUGGUCAUUUCUUUUCGGAUGGAUGUAAUAUAUUGCUCCUUAACAUUUAAAGAAUUUUGAUAUGUAAUUUUGAAAUGCUUAUAUUUUUCAUAUAUGAUGGCUAAUUUGUUUCAAUAAUCUUACUUA
Solanum pennellii is the source of this 4214-nucleotide long non-coding RNA. RefSeq lists it as uncharacterized. Lineage: Eukaryota; Viridiplantae; Streptophyta; Magnoliopsida; Solanales; Solanaceae. The record is from RefSeq and is a predicted model, not a curated record. The transcript has 2 exons.